GCUCAGUUGGUGAAGCACAAAGCUCUUAACCUUGUGGACGUGGGUUCAAGCCCCAU
Molecule: non-coding RNA, 56 nt
Organism: Triticum urartu
Lineage: Eukaryota; Viridiplantae; Streptophyta; Magnoliopsida; Poales; Poaceae
Source: Rfam